Molecule: ribosomal RNA, 407 nt
Filed under: uncultured bacterium
Lineage: Bacteria
Description: partial 16S ribosomal RNA
Rfam family: Bacterial small subunit ribosomal RNA
Source: RNAcentral
AUUGAACGCUAGCGGGAUGCUUUACACAUGCAAGUCGAACGGAGUGUCGGACGGGUGAGUAAUAUAUCGGAACGUGCCCAGUAGCGUGGGAUAACUACUCGAAAGAGUGGCUAAUACCGCAUACUAUUUGAGCGGCCGAUUUCGGAUUAGCUAGUUGGUGGGGUAACGGGUCACCAAGGCAACGAUCCGUAGCUGGUGUGAGAGGACGACCAGCCACACUGGGACUGAGACACGGUCCAGACUCCUACGGGAGGCAGGAGUGGGGAAUUUUGGACAAUGGGGGAAACCCUGAUCCAGCCAUCCCGCGUGUAGGAUGAAGGCCUUCGGGUUGUAAAGUACUGUUGGCAGAGAAGCGGUAUCUGCAGAAUAAGCACAGGCUAACUACGUGCCAGCAGCCGCGGUAAUUC